GCCUUAAACGUCCGAAAUCUCUCAACAUCUACGAGUCUUCUGUACCCCUUUUUUUUUUUAGUAUCGAUCUUAAUCUUUUUUUUCUUUUCUUUCUUUCAAUACCGAAAGUGUUACAUCUCUACGAUUAAUUUGGUUUCGUUAGAAAUUAUAUAUAUUCGGUGUAUUGAAGUAAUACAGAUGUGUUUUGUCUUACGAUCUGCCUCCUCCUGGAUUUAUUCGAACCAUCGAGUAAACUCAAUCUGUGUACAGAUUUAUAUACACUUAAAUGUAUAACGAUGAAAUUUAGUAUUUCAAAAAAAGGAAAGAGUAUAUAUUU
RNAcentral lists this long non-coding RNA (316 nucleotides) under Polistes fuscatus (common paper wasp). RNAcentral's name for it is "uncharacterized LOC122523595". Lineage: Eukaryota; Metazoa; Arthropoda; Insecta; Hymenoptera; Vespidae. The record is from RNAcentral.